RNAcentral lists this non-coding RNA (224 nucleotides) under Clostridia bacterium. Its description in RNAcentral is "6S RNA". It matches the Rfam family "6S / SsrS RNA". From Rfam's summary of the family: E. coli 6S RNA was the first non coding RNA to be sequenced, but its function was unknown until recently. The record is from RNAcentral. Lineage: Bacteria; Bacillati; Bacillota; Clostridia.
UUAAUCCUGCUUAGUACGUGAUAAGGCGAUGUAUUCGACCUACAAUUAUUAAAUGGAGUCCAAUAUCCGAUAUCGGUUUGCAGGCCUCCCACCAGCUCUCUCUUAAUGAGGCUUUUGCCGGACAGAGCCUUGUGGAUGUUGGAAGCAAUUAAGGUAUUAUGAGGACACCGCCUUGUUUAGAACAAGGUUCAAAUGAUUGCUUUACACGGCUCGGUGGGAUUUUU